ACCACGUGAACGUGUUGAUUCCUCAAACAAGUUCUGUUUUUACCAACUUUUAAUUACAUACUAGCACUUGGAUUUAUUUUUUAUUGAUGGUAUUCUGCAUUCACGAGGCAAAGCUGGACUUGUAAAGGUUUGAAAGACAAGAUUUGGUGUGCCACGUCUGGUGAUCUGAUAUGGCACAGACUCCAUGGUCACGUGACUGAAGAGGUAAUGAGGAAUUAACUCCUCUUCUCAACUCUGGCUCACCCGGGAUCGGCAGAGUAAUGAACCCUAAAAGGAAAGCACUGAGCAUGUUUAUCUUUUUUUCCAGCGUCUCUGAAGCCCCAAACCCAAAUUCCUUGACUCGACCCGUGACUUAUUG
Amphiprion ocellaris (clown anemonefish) is the source of this 358-nucleotide long non-coding RNA. The record is from Ensembl. NCBI's taxonomy places the organism in Eukaryota, Metazoa, Chordata, Actinopteri, Pomacentridae.